Molecule: ribosomal RNA, 618 nt
Filed under: Vibrio alginolyticus
Lineage: Bacteria; Pseudomonadati; Pseudomonadota; Gammaproteobacteria; Vibrionales; Vibrionaceae
Description: bacterial SSU rRNA
Rfam family: Bacterial small subunit ribosomal RNA
Source: RNAcentral
UGCAGUCGAGCGGAACGAGUUAUCUGAACCUUCGGGGGACGAUAACGGCGUCGAGCGGCGGACGGGUGAGUAAUGCCUAGGAAAUUGCCCUGAUGUGGGGGAUAACCAUUGGAAACGAUGGCUAAUACCGCAUGAUGCCUACGGGCCAAAGAGGGGGACCUUCGGGCCUCUCGCGUCAGGAUAUGCCUAGGUGGGAUUAGCUAGUUGGUGAGGUAAGGGCUCACCAAGGCGACGAUCCCUAGCUGGUCUGAGAGGAUGAUCAGCCACACUGGAACUGAGACACGGUCCAGACUCCUACGGGAGGCAGCAGUGGGGAAUAUUGCACAAUGGGCGCAAGCCUGAUGCAGCCAUGCCGCGUGUGUGAAGAAGGCCUUCGGGUUGUAAAGCACUUUCAGUCGUGAGGAAGGUGGUGUAGUUAAUAGCUGUAUCAUUUGACGUUAGCGACAGAAGAAGCACCGGCUAACUCCGUGCCAGCAGCCGCGGUAAUACGGAGGGUGCGAGCGUUAAUCGGAAUUACUGGGCGUAAAGCGCAUGCAGGUGGUUUGUUAAGUCAGAUGUGAAAGCCCGGGGCUCAACCUCGGAAUAGCAUUUGAAACUGGCAGACUAGAGUACUGUAGA